AAGGAAGCAAGACAAGGAAAAUGAAGUCAACUUGCAAAAAAAUUGGCUUGAAAUAAGGUACAUGUGAUCGAGGUAGUUGUGAGACAGGGUCAGGUCAGUGUAGGUAGAUCCGAUUGGAGCAGGUGGUGGUGCCAUCAGCCGACUCUGUUACACAAGUAGAGUCAAAUAUUGAUGAAAUUAUGAAAUGUCUUGGAGGAGGGAUAAUUGUCUCUAGCCUCCGGAUUUGAUUUUUAUAGCUGAUACUUAUGCAUCAAUGAGGCAAGUUUCAGUUCCAUAAAUACAUGAAUAUGCACUCAAGGAAGAAAUUGCAUUACAAAUAAUUCAAUAAAGUUAAACUCUCCAUUAUUCAUA
This is a long non-coding RNA of Mangifera indica (mango), 351 nucleotides long. RefSeq lists it as uncharacterized. NCBI's taxonomy places the organism in Eukaryota, Viridiplantae, Streptophyta, Magnoliopsida, Sapindales, Anacardiaceae. The transcript is spliced from 3 exons. The record is from RefSeq and is a predicted model, not a curated record.